CGAUCAAUAUUUUUUGUGACCUAUGCUAGACCUUCCCUAGAUAUAUGGCCACAUAUAAAUCGCCAGUGUAUUUCAAUAUCAAUGAUUCCACUUUGACUGAUUGGAAUGAAAUAUUUAGCUUUACUGUCUGUUUAGCAAACUGAUGGUCGAGGGUAAACGAAUAGAACGUCAGAGGAUAAAACGACACAGGACAUAAAGUCGC
RNAcentral lists this long non-coding RNA (202 nucleotides) under Mytilus galloprovincialis (Mediterranean mussel). Lineage: Eukaryota; Metazoa; Mollusca; Bivalvia; Mytilida; Mytilidae. The record is from RNAcentral.